Molecule: long non-coding RNA, 1350 nt
Filed under: Rhinopithecus bieti (black snub-nosed monkey)
Lineage: Eukaryota; Metazoa; Chordata; Mammalia; Primates; Cercopithecidae
Description: lncRNA (ENSRBIG00000046256.1)
Source: RNAcentral
GACUCGCCCCGUGCCCGCCCCGCGCGCGGCCCAAUCCCGUGGCUCCCGGCCCGGGGGCUGCGCGCCGAUGAUGUCAGCUGCGGCCAAUCGCGAGCGGCGACACACAGCGGCCCCGCCUGGCGUGACCGAGACUCUCCAUCACGGCCCGCACCAUUGGUUCAAUUCGAACUCUGCUCGUUCUGAUUGGAGAGUGGCCUCGCAGGCUAUUUUUAGCAGGGUAUAUAAGGCGCGGUCGGCCGCGCGCCGGAGGAGUCCGCGCUGUGAGGUGCGCGGCCGAGUGCUGUGCUGCGCCCGCGGCCGGGGCUGAGGGAUCCGGGGCUGGGAGAGCCCGGGCGGGCCGCGUUGCUCGUCCCCAGUCCCAGUCCCCCUUCCCUGCUGCCCGGUCCCGCCACCCCGCGCCCGUCCCGGUCACCAAGCCGGGCCCCGUCGCCGCGCGAGCCCCGUUCCGGCAGCACACCCAGCGUGCGGCCGCCCGGUCCUGCUUCUCUAGGCCGUCAGGUGCUUCCUCCUCCUGCUCCUCGCUGAAGAUCCUUGCGCUCUUUUCACUCGCGCAGUCAUGGAGAGAACACAGUCAACUCCAUUUCUUGGGCGUGACCCUCGUUCUCUGCUCACCUUGAGCCGCUCCAGUCUCUGCCACUGUCUUCAAAAGCAGUUUUCAGCAGCAGAGGCAUUGUUCUGGAGUAGCCCGUGACUGUAAACAGAUUCUCAGUAUUCAACAGGCAAAUCGUCUUGGGUGUAUACCGGAAAAUUUAAGUGUUUUAAGCACUUGUCCUAAGAUACGUUUUUUAGAUUAUCAGUUUGCACUGUGUAGAUGUCAAGGCUUAACGGACAAAGACAAACUUCAGCCCAGCCCUGGUCAUAAUGAACAAAAUUUCUGAAGUUAAUAAAAUCCUUAAAAGGUACAUUAUAAUGUGUUCAAAAAAAUCCGUUUUUAGUUAAUAGCAAUAAUACUACUCUUCAGUGUUAUAAAAAGUUCUACAGUCAGAUUCAAACACUAGAAUCUAUGUCCUUCAAAACAUUAAACAUGUAUUUACUUUCAUUGAAAAUACUCAUUUGAUUUUAUUAUAUUUGUGAAAACAUAUUUUGCAGUAUUUACAUAUUGACGUAUUAACUGAGAAAUUAUCUCCUGGUUCCUCGAAAACAUUAAUUAAAAUCUCAAAGGCUUUAUCUCUAUUUUACAUGUUUCUCUGAAGAAAAUGUAUUAUUUAGAAAACAAACAGUGUUGCCAUGUGAUAGGUUUUUUUUCAAAUGAGACAACACAACGGAAUAAAAUAUAUGAUCUGUAGCUGCUGAGGCUGAGUCAGUUCCUGUUUCAAUAACAAGAGUGUCAUCUGCUAAACUCUAACCAGC